Molecule: small nuclear RNA, 134 nt
Organism: Mustela erminea (ermine)
Lineage: Eukaryota; Metazoa; Chordata; Mammalia; Carnivora; Mustelidae
Product: U4 spliceosomal RNA
Exons: 1
Source: RefSeq, a predicted model, not a curated record
AUUUUGAAGGCAGUAUCGUAGCCAAUGAGGUUUAUCCGAGGCGCGAUUAUUGCUAAUUGAAAUGAAAAAAAAAAAACCUCAAGCUACUCCAGAAGAGAGAAGGAAGUGUAUUCUUUUGGAAGUGUAUUCCAAAA